UAAUGGAGAAAUAAUGUCUCAAAAGGGAAACUGUUUUCAGCUGGAACUAUGGCUUGAAAAACCAGAUGGUUAUAUGCAAAAACUGAAAACUCAACAAGUCAACUGUCCAGGCACUUUCCUGCUUCUCACCAUCUGGCCACCUGUUGUGGAGUUCAUCUUAUUUUGGGAAUGAUUCCACCUGAUCUAGGGCUGACUUUAUAAUUGAGAAAGGAGUUUUGUCAUUGAGAAAGGAGUCACAGGAAGGAAUCAAGGAAGAGAAAAGACUUGUUCCAUCCUGUUUGUUUGCAGUCCUCAAAUGUUUGCCACAUAAAUUGCCCUUCAUCCAGUGCUCAAAUUUGCCAUCACCAAUAUGGGCAGCCUGACAUGAAUACUGUACAGCAGGAAUUAAGCAGCAUCAGCAAUGCAGUAUCUUUGCAGAAAUUAUUGACCAGAAUAUAGAAAAAAGAAAAUUUAAUUCCCAAAACAAGACACUCUAAGAUACUCUUCAAGGAGCUAAUACCCUUUACCUCUGAGAGGUGAAUGGUGAAGUAUUUUGGAGUGUGAGGUUCUGAUGUCUGCAGUGAUCUGCCAGAAGGAAAGAUAUAGACCAGUGAAAGAAGUUUGGCAAGG
Molecule: long non-coding RNA, 609 nt
Organism: Symphalangus syndactylus (siamang)
Lineage: Eukaryota; Metazoa; Chordata; Mammalia; Primates; Hylobatidae
Source: RefSeq, a predicted model, not a curated record